Molecule: ribosomal RNA, 2259 nt
Filed under: metagenome
Description: bacterial LSU rRNA
Rfam family: Bacterial large subunit ribosomal RNA
Source: RNAcentral
CCAGUAGCGGCGAGCGAACGGGGAGCAGCCCAGAGCCUGAAUCAGUGUGUGUGUUAGUGGAAGCGUCUGGAAAGGCGCGCGAUACAGGGUGACAGCCCCGUACACAAAAAUGCACAUGCUGUGAGCUCGAUGAGUAGGGCGGGACACGUGGUAUCCUGUCUGAAUAUGGGGGGACCAUCCUCCAAGGCUAAAUACUCCUGACUGACCGAUAGUGAACCAGUACCGUGAGGGAAAGGCGAAAAGAACCCCGGCGAGGGGAGUGAAAAAGAACCUGAAACCGUGUACGUACAAGCAGUGGGAGCACGCUUAGGCGUGUGACUGCGUACCUUUUGUAUAAUGGGUCAGCGACUUAUAUUCUGUAGCAAGGUUAACCGAAUAGGGGAGCCGAAGGGAAACCGAGUCUUAACUGGGCGUUAAGUUGCAGGGUAUAGACCCGAAACCCGGUGAUCUAGCCAUGGGCAGGUUGAAGGUUGGGUAACACUAACUGGAGGACCGAACCGACUAAUGUUGAAAAAUUAGCGGAUGACUUGUGGCUGGGGGUGAAAGGCCAAUCAAACCGGGAGAUAGCUGGUUCUCCCCGAAAGCUAUUUAGGUAGCGCCUCGUGAAUUCAUCUCCGGGGGUAGAGCACUGUUUCGGCAAGGGGGUCAUCCCGACUUACCAACCCGAUGCAAACUGCGAAUACCGGAGAAUGUUAUCACGGGAGACACACGGCGGGUGCUAACGUCCGUCGUGAAGAGGGAAACAACCCAGACCGCCAGCUAAGGUCCCAAAGUCAUGGUUAAGUGGGAAACGAUGUGGGAAGGCCCAGACAGCCAGGAUGUUGGCUUAGAAGCAGCCAUCAUUUAAAGAAAGCGUAAUAGCUCACUGGUCGAGUCGGCCUGCGCGGAAGAUGUAACGGGGCUAAACCAUGCACCGAAGCUGCGGCAGCGACACUAUGUGUUGUUGGGUAGGGGAGCGUUCUGUAAGCCUGUGAAGGUGUACUGUGAGGUAUGCUGGAGGUAUCAGAAGUGCGAAUGCUGACAUAAGUAACGAUAAAGCGGGUGAAAAGCCCGCUCGCCGGAAGACCAAGGGUUCCUGUCCAACGUUAAUCGGGGCAGGGUGAGUCGACCCCUAAGGCGAGGCCGAAAGGCGUAGUCGAUGGGAAACAGGUUAAUAUUCCUGUACUUGGUGUUACUGCGAAGGGGGGACGGAGAAGGCUAUGUUGGCCGGGCGACGGUUGUCCCGGUUUAAGCGUGUAGGCUGGUUUUCCAGGCAAAUCCGGAAAAUCAAGGCUGAGGCGUGAUGACGAGGCACUACGGUGCUGAAGCAACAAAUGCCCUGCUUCCAGGAAAAGCCUCUAAGCAUCAGGUAACAUCAAAUCGUACCCCAAACCGACACAGGUGGUCAGGUAGAGAAUACCAAGGCGCUUGAGAGAACUCGGGUGAAGGAACUAGGCAAAAUGGUGCCGUAACUUCGGGAGAAGGCACGCUGAUAUGUAGGUGAAGUCCCUCGCGGAUGGAGCUGAAAUCAGUCGAAGAUACCAGCUGGCUGCAACUGUUUAUUAAAAACACAGCACUGUGCAAACACGAAAGUGGACGUAUACGGUGUGACGCCUGCCCGGUGCCGGAAGGUUAAUUGAUGGGGUUAGCGCAAGCGAAGCUCUUGAUCGAAGCCCCGGUAAACGGCGGCCGUAACUAUAACGGUCCUAAGGUAGCGAAAUUCCUUGUCGGGUAAGUUCCGACCUGCACGAAUGGCGUAAUGAUGGCCAGGCUGUCUCCACCCGAGACUCAGUGAAAUUGAACUCGCUGUGAAGAUGCAGUGUACCCGCGGCAAGACGGAAAGACCCCGUGAACCUUUACUAUAGCUUGACACUGAACAUUGAGCCUUGAUGUGUAGGAUAGGUGGGAGGCUUUGAAGUGUGGACGCCAGUCUGCAUGGAGCCGACCUUGAAAUACCACCCUUUAAUGUUUGAUGUUCUAACGUUGACCCGUGAUCCGGGUUGCGGACAGUGUCUGGUGGGUAGUUUGACUGGGGCGGUCUCCUCCUAAAGAGUAACGGAGGAGCACGAAGGUUGGCUAAUCCUGGUCGGACAUCAGGAGGUUAGUGCAAUGGCAUAAGCCAGCUUGACUGCGAGCGUGACGGCGCGAGCAGGUGCGAAAGCAGGUCAUAGUGAUCCGGUGGUUCUGAAUGGAAGGGCCAUCGCUCAACGGAUAAAAGGUACUCCGGGGAUAACAGGCUGAUACCGCCCAAGAGUUCAUAUCGACGGCGGUGUUUGGCAC